GACGAACGCUGGCGGCGUGCCUAAUACAUGCCAGUCGAGCGAAGUUUUUCUGGUGCUUGCUCUAGAAAAACUUAGCGGCGCACGGGUGAGUAACACGUAAAGAACCUGCCUCAUAGACUGGGACAACUAUUGGAAACGAUAGCUAAUACCGGAUAACAGUAUUUCUCGCAUGAGAGAUAUUUAAAAGUUGGUUAUGCUAACACUAUGAGAUGGCUUUGCGGUGCAUUAGCUAGUUGGCGGGGUAAAGGCCCACCAAGGCGACGAUGCAUAGCCGACCUGAGAGGGUGAUCGGCCACACUGGGACUGAGACACGGCCCAGACUCCUACGGGAGGCAGCAGUAGGGAAUCUUCCGCAAUGGGCGAAAGCCUGACGGAGCAACGCCGCGUGAGUGAAGAAGGAUUUCGGUUCGUAAAGCUCUGUUGUUAGGGAAGAAUGGAUAUGUAGUAACUAUACAUGUAAGAGACGGUACCUAACCAGAAAGCCACGGCUAACUACGUG
RNAcentral lists this ribosomal RNA (499 nucleotides) under uncultured bacterium. Its description in RNAcentral is "partial 16S ribosomal RNA". It matches the Rfam family "Bacterial small subunit ribosomal RNA", at positions 28 to 507 of the family's 1533-position model. The record is from RNAcentral.